Molecule: ribosomal RNA, 1070 nt
Filed under: Pseudomonas aeruginosa
Lineage: Bacteria; Pseudomonadati; Pseudomonadota; Gammaproteobacteria; Pseudomonadales; Pseudomonadaceae
Description: bacterial LSU rRNA
Rfam family: Bacterial large subunit ribosomal RNA
Source: RNAcentral
GGCUUAGACAGCUAGGAGGUUGGCUUAGAAGCAGCCAUCCUUUAAAGAAAGCGUAAUAGCUCACUAGUCGAGUCGGCCUGCGCGGAAGAUGUAACGGGGCUCAAACCACACACCGAAGCUGCGGGUGUCACGUAAGUGACGCGGUAGAGGAGCGUUCUGUAAGCCUGUGAAGGUGAGUUGAGAAGCUUGCUGGAGGUAUCAGAAGUGCGAAUGCUGACAUGAGUAACGACAAUGGGUGUGAAAAACACCCACGCCGAAAGACCAAGGGUUCCUGCGCAACGUUAAUCGACGCAGGGUUAGUCGGUUCCUAAGGCGAGGCUGAAAAGCGUAGUCGAUGGGAAACAGGUUAAUAUUCCUGUACUUCUGGUUACUGCGAUGGAGGGACGGAGAAGGCUAGGCCAGCUUGGCGUUGGUUGUCCAAGUUUAAGGUGGUAGGCUGAAAUCUUAGGUAAAUCCGGGGUUUCAAGGCCGAGAGCUGAUGACGAGUCGUCUUUUAGAUGACGAAGUGGUUGAUGCCAUGCUUCCAAGAAAAGCUUCUAAGCUUCAGGUAACCAGGAACCGUACCCCAAACCGACACAGGUGGUCGGGUAGAGAAUACCAAGGCGCUUGAGAGAACUCGGGUGAAGGAACUAGGCAAAAUGGCACCGUAACUUCGGGAGAAGGUGCGCCGGCUAGGGUGAAGGAUUUACUCCGUAAGCUCUGGCUGGUCGAAGAUACCAGGCCGCUGCGACUGUUUAUUAAAAACACAGCACUCUGCAAACACGAAAGUGGACGUAUAGGGUGUGACGCCUGCCCGGUGCCGGAAGGUUAAUUGAUGGGGUUAGCGCAAGCGAAGCUCUUGAUCGAAGCCCCGGUAAACGGCGGCCGUAACUAUAACGGUCCUAAGGUAGCGAAAUUCCUUGUCGGGUAAGUUCCGACCUGCACGAAUGGCGUAACGAUGGCGGCGCUGUCUCCACCCGAGACUCAGUGAAAUUGAAAUCGCUGUGAAGAUGCAGUGUAUCCGCGGCUAGACGGAAAGACCCCGUGAACCUUUACUGUAGCUUUGCACUGGACUUUGAGCCUGCUUGUGU